This 1444-nucleotide ribosomal RNA is filed under the name uncultured bacterium. RNAcentral's name for it is "bacterial SSU rRNA". It matches the Rfam family "Bacterial small subunit ribosomal RNA". The record is from RNAcentral.
AGGCUUAACACAUGCAAGUCGAGGGGCAGCAUGGUCUUAGCUUGCUAAGGCCGAUGGCGACCGGCGCACGGGUGAGUAACACGUAUCCAACCUGCCGUCUACUCUUGGACAGCCUUCUGAAAGGAAGAUUAAUACAAGAUGGCAUCAUGAGUCCGCAUGUUCACAUGAUUAAAGGUAUUCCGGUAGACGAUGGGGAUGCGUUCCAUUAGAUAGUAGGCGGGGUAACGGCCCACCUAGUCUUCGAUGGAUAGGGGUUCUGAGAGGAAGGUCCCCCACAUUGGAACUGAGACACGGUCCAAACUCCUACGGGAGGCAGCAGUGAGGAAUAUUGGUCAAUGGGCGAGAGCCUGAACCAGCCAAGUAGCGUGAAGGAUGACUGCCCUAUGGGUUGUAAACUUCUUUUAUAAAGGAAUAAAGUCGGGUAUGGAUACCCGUUUGCAUGUACUUUAUGAAUAAGGAUCGGCUAACUCCGUGCCAGCAGCCGCGGUAAUACGGAGGAUCCGAGCGUUAUCCGGAUUUAUUGGGUUUAAAGGGAGCGUAGAUGGAUGUUUAAGUCAGUUGUGAAAGUUUGCGGCUCAACCGUAAAAUUGCAGUUGAUACUGGAUAUCUUGAGUGCAGUUGAGGCAGGCGGAAUUCGUGGUGUAGCGGUGAAAUGCUUAGAUAUCACGAAGAACUCCGAUUGCGAAGGCAGCCUGCUAAGCUGCAACUGACAUUGAGGCUCGAAAGUGUGGGUAUCAAACAGGAUUAGAUACCCUGGUAGUCCACACGGUAAACGAUGAAUACUCGCUGUUUGCGAUAUACAGCAAGCGGCCAAGCGAAAGCGUUAAGUAUUCCACCUGGGGAGUACGCCGGCAACGGUGAAACUCAAAGGAAUUGACGGGGGCCCGCACAAGCGGAGGAACAUGUGGUUUAAUUCGAUGAUACGCGAGGAACCUUACCCGGGCUUAAAUUGCAGAUGAAUUACGGUGAAAGCCGUAAGCCGCAAGGCAUCUGUGAAGGUGCUGCAUGGUUGUCGUCAGCUCGUGCCGUGAGGUGUCGGCUUAAGUGCCAUAACGAGCGCAACCCUUGUUGUCAGUUACUAACAGGUUCCGCUGAGGACUCUGACAAGACUGCCAUCGUAAGAUGUGAGGAAGGUGGGGAUGACGUCAAAUCAGCACGGCCCUUACGUCCGGGGCUACACACGUGUUACAAUGGGGGGUACAGAGGGCCGCUACCACGCGAGUGGAUGCCAAUCCCAAAAACCUCUCUCAGUUCGGACUGGAGUCUGCAACCCGACUCCACGAAGCUGGAUUCGCUAGUAAUCGCGCAUCAGCCACGGCGCGGUGAAUACGUUCCCGGGCCUUGUACACACCGCCCGUCAAGCCAUGGGAGCCGGGGGUACCUGAAGUGCGUAACCGCGAGGAGCGCCCUAGGGUAAAACUGGUGACUGGGGCUAAGUCAUAAC